AAGCACGCACAAGGGGGCGAAUCGAGGGAUAAGCUGGCGCGCAUCUCAGCGGUGGCUGCGCAUGGCGGUAUGCGUGGGCCCGUCUGUGAUGAUGAUGAUGGAGCAGCACUGGCUGCUGCCACCAAGGGGAUGGAUGGAGUUACUACUGGGCCACUGACUGCGGUCCCUGUAGACUCCUGACACCACUGCAGUGCUGUCCCCUGCCGCACCGCACUGGCAUAGGUUGUUUGAGCAGGGGCAAGAUCUUGAAUAUGCUGGAUGAUCUCCUUUGCAGUUUGUACAGUGAGGAGCAGCAUUGCAGUUCUCCGACUGAUGGUCUGACCCCUCUGACUGCAUCUGAAGGCCGGUGCCGUGCCAUCACAGAAAAUUCCCAUGCAUUCUCAUGAAAGGAUGCCAAGAAUGCCAAGAAAAACAAGACGAAAGUCAAUUGAGGACGCUGAAGAAAAAAUAGCUCGACAAGUGCUGAUGAAUGACCUAGACACACAAGCCUGUACCUGCAUAGUCCAAAGCAAUGCGACCGCUGUGGACGGCACCAUACUGGCUAUCUAUGGAUCAUGGAUGGCGACUACACAGUUUUGAAGGCACGCAGGUAACGCAGCGCUAUCCACAAAAAUAAAGGCUUCACA
Dermacentor andersoni is the source of this 626-nucleotide long non-coding RNA. RefSeq lists it as uncharacterized. The record is from RefSeq and is a predicted model, not a curated record. Lineage: Eukaryota; Metazoa; Arthropoda; Arachnida; Ixodida; Ixodidae.